RNAcentral lists this ribosomal RNA (880 nucleotides) under uncultured Bacillus sp. RNAcentral's name for it is "bacterial SSU rRNA". It matches the Rfam family "Bacterial small subunit ribosomal RNA", at positions 9 to 873 of the family's 1533-position model. The record is from RNAcentral. Lineage: Bacteria; Bacillati; Bacillota; Bacilli; Caryophanales; Bacillaceae.
UGGGCGCGCCCUCACGGGGCGGGCGCGGCGGCGGCCUGGGGGGGAGUUUUUCUGCUUUGCGGCGUGCGCGGGGGGCCAUUUGGGGGCGCUGGCUUGCGCAGGGGCAUAACUCCCGGGAGCCUGGUCUCAUACCGGUAAUAUGUUCCUUUCGGUGAUUGAAGGUUGGAAAGUCGGCUAGCUGGCGAUUGCGCAUGGGGCCCCCGCGCAUUAGCUAGUUGGGGACGUAACGGCUCACCGAGGCGACGAUGCGUAGCCGACCUGAGGGGGUGAUCGGCCACACUGGGACUGAGACAUCGCCCAGACUCCUACGGGAGGCAACAUUAAGGAAUCUUCCGCAAUGGACGAAAGUCUGACGGAGCAACGCCACGUGAGCGAAGAAGGUCUUCGGAUCGUAAAGCUCUGUUGUCAGGGAGGAACAAGUACCGUUCGAACAGGGCGGUACCUUGACGGUACCUGACCAGAAAGCCACGGCUAACUACGUGCCAUCAGCCGCGGUAAUACGUAGGUGGCAAGCGUUGUCCGGGAAUUAUUGAGCGUAAAGCGCGCGCAGGCGGUCUCUUACGUCUGAUGUGAAAGCCCACGGCUCAACCGUGCAGGGUCAUUGGAAACUGCGAGACUUGAGUGCACAAUGACGAGAGCGGAAUUCCACGUGUAGCGCUGAAAUGCGUAGAGAUGUGGAGGAUCGUCAACUGACGAACGACGGCUCUCUGGACUGUAACUGAACGAUGAAGCCUCGAAUGCUCGGGGCAGCCAACAGCAUUAAAAUCCUGGUUAGUCACGCAGUCAUCGAUGAAGUGCCUAACGAUAAAGGCUUCAGCAUUGAUGACUGGCAGCUAACGGCAUUACAAGUCCAUUCACUGACUGUGAAGCUCGUUAUCGG